AUGAACAAAGCUCGUGUGGAGAGGAAGGUAUGGGUUGGACAUAUCUAUGACUCUCUCAGAGAAGGGUAUAUGAGGUCAGCAGAGUUUCUGCUAAAAAACCUUCCCCUGGAUAACAUCAUAUUAACAUCACUCUCUGCUCUGACGCCGUCUCUAAUUCAAUCCGAUGCAGUUGUUGGAGCAUUCACUACAUUAGGAGAGGCCUUGCCAAAUGUUGUCCCUCCAGAAGAGAUCGGUCAACUGGUUGAAGAAUGCCGGGCCUACCAGAUGGAUGCGGACAUGCUUCUUCGUGUACCAAACUACAUUGAAGGGGACUGUCUAGUUGAUGUAGACUGGUGGAGCCAUGUUGCUUCUUUGAAAAAUGCAGAGAGAGGUGUGAAGUAUCCCACCCUGUGCAAACUUGUUAAAGCGAUUCUGUCCAUUUUUACAGGCCCCUUGGUGGAAGGAUCAUUCAAUUUAAUGGAUGAUAUCCUAGAGUCUGACAGGUGCUCCAUGAAUGUGGAAACAUACGAGAGCCUCGCAGUGAUCAAGUCCACACUUAAGGCCAGGAACUGGACAGCCUCAACUAUGAACAUUGACCAGCCUUUAAGGCGAUCCUGCCUUUCCUCAUUCCAAAACUACCAAUUACAUUUAAAGAAAAAGAAAGAGACUGCACAGGCACUAAAGAAGAAAAGGCUUAGUGAGGCAGCAAGGAUUCUAUCCUCAAAGGAGGCAAACAAAUUGUCUCAACAGGCCCGAAAAACCAAAAGGCCAGCAAUAUCCUCCUCUGCACAAACCUCCACCUCCUCUGCACAAGCCUCCACCACCUCUGCUCAACAGGCCCUGGAAAAAAGAAUACCACCCCAAUCCUCCUCUGUACAAGCCUCCACUUCCUCUGCACAAGCCUCCACCACCUCUGCUCAAAAGGCCCUUGAAAAAAGAAGACCACCCCAACCCUCCUCUGCACAAGUCUCCACAUCAUCUGCACCAUCACAGUUUUUUCCUCUCUUUUAUCAAUCCAAAGCAUCAUCAACCAUGUUAAAAAGGAAAGGUUCCGAGGACCAAAAACAAUGUUCAUCAAAAAGGAAGAAAUGA
This 1071-nucleotide long non-coding RNA is filed under the name Carassius auratus (goldfish). RNAcentral's name for it is "lncRNA (ENSCARG00000053389.1)". Lineage: Eukaryota; Metazoa; Chordata; Actinopteri; Cypriniformes; Cyprinidae. The record is from RNAcentral.